AACGCUGGCGGCGUGUCUUAGCAUGCAAGUCGAGCGGCAAGGGGUAGCAAUAUCCCCUAGAGCGGCGGACUGGUGAGUAACGCGUGGAUGAUCUACCUAGAGGGCAUGGGGAUAGCCAUUAGAAAUAGUGGGUAAUACCGAAUACGCUCACGCAGGUGAAGCUGUGUGAGGAAAGGUGCUACGGCGCCGGCCUGUAGAUGAGUUCGCGUCCCAUUAGUUAGUUGGUGAGGUAAAGGCCCACCAAGGCGAUGAUGGGUAGCCGGCCUGAGAGGGUGUACGGCCACACUGGGACUGAGAUACGGCCCAGACUCCUACGGGAGGCAGCAGCUAAGAAUAUUCCGCAAUGGACGGAAGUCUGACGGAGCGACGCCGCGUGGAUGACGAAGGCCGAAAGGUUGUAAAAUCCUUUUGCUGGGGAAGAAUAAGUCUGGGAGGGAAUGCCCGGAUGAUGACAUGAACCGGCGAAUAAGCCCCGGCCAACUACGUGCCAGCAGCCGCGGUAACACGUAGGGGGCGAGCGUUGUUCGGAAUUACUGGGCGUAAAGGGCAUGUAGGCGGUUUUGUAAGCCYGGSGUGAMAGAUCACAGCUUAACUGUGGGAUUGCGUUGGGAACUGCGAGGCUAGAGUUAUGGAGAGGGAGCUAGAAUUCCUGGUGUAGGGGUGGAAUCUGUAGAGAUCAGGAAGAAUACCAAUGGCGAAGGCAAGCUUCUGGCCGAUGACUGACGCUGAGGUGCGAAAGUGUGGGG
This 746-nucleotide ribosomal RNA is filed under the name uncultured bacterium. RNAcentral describes it as "bacterial SSU rRNA". It matches the Rfam family "Bacterial small subunit ribosomal RNA", at positions 32 to 766 of the family's 1533-position model. The record is from RNAcentral.